Molecule: long non-coding RNA, 723 nt
Filed under: Pan troglodytes (chimpanzee)
Lineage: Eukaryota; Metazoa; Chordata; Mammalia; Primates; Hominidae
Description: long non-coding RNA NONPTRT004916
Source: RNAcentral
AUGGCCCUUAUAUGUAAUACUAUCUCUCUGGACUCACACAUAUUAUUAAUAUUUGAUUAUUUUGCAGAAUUUUAUAAAAUGGUUUUCCUACUCUGACUGUUUUAAAUGACAUCAUAUGCCUUUGGAGAAUUUUGAAUUGGAGGAUAUUAUCGUUUUUUGGCCACUUCAAAUAUAUUAUGAGUUAUAUACAGGAAACUGAUUUUAAAGAGUGAUGGAUUGGAUGGAUAGCGUGGAUAAGUAAAUAAAUGAAUACACAGGCAUAUAUUUACAUUUGCACACAUACAUACCAUUUUAAUAAUAAAUGUAUUAUUUUGUACAGAGACCUGAUUGAUAAAUGCUACACGUGUACAUCUCAUUGAGCUCAAGGACAGAGCUUCCCCUCUCCUCACUGUCUGCAGUGCCUGGUCCAGGCAGGACCUGCCAUCAAGUCAGUGCUGAAAAUGUUGGCCACACAAAAACAUCUGCACCGUCGGAAGGAAUAGAAGCUCCAGAACAAUGCCUGGGCUUCAAGAUCCAAUGGAACUUUGUCAGUUGAACGCCAGUCUUGAAUCCAGGUCUUCUUGCUUCCAAAUGUGGUCCUCUGCUGUCUCAUCAGCCUCUUGGGGCCUCACGCUGCUGAGAUUUCUGACUGCUUUAUUGCUCUCCUCAUUUUUUUCUCUUGCCUGCUACAGCCGAGAAGCAGAAAUAAAGGUUUGUUGUUGAAACAUGGCCGGGAGGAAAGUA